Molecule: ribosomal RNA, 395 nt
Filed under: uncultured bacterium
Lineage: Bacteria
Description: bacterial SSU rRNA
Rfam family: Bacterial small subunit ribosomal RNA
Source: RNAcentral
GUGUCAGCAGCCGCGGUAAUACGUAGGGGGCGAGCGUUGUCCGGAGUUACUGGGCGUAAAGGGCAUGCAGGCGGUCGUACGCGUUUCGGGUGACAGCGGGUGGCUUAACUACCCGAGUAUGCGAAAGACGGUCUGACUUGAGGGCUCGAGAGGGACACGGAAUUCCGGGUGGAGUGGUGAAAUGCGUAGAGAUCCGGAGGAACACCGAAGGCGAAGGCAGUGUCCUGGCGAGUGACUGACGCUGAGGUGCGAAAGCUAGGGGAGCGAACGGGAUUAGAUACCCCGGUAGUCCUAGCCGUAAACGAUGACCACCAGGUGUGGGAGGUAUCGACCCCUUCCGUGCCAAAGUAAACACAUUAAGUGGUCCGCCUGGGGAGUACGGUCGCAAGAUUAAA